This 371-nucleotide long non-coding RNA is filed under the name Phoenix dactylifera (date palm). RNAcentral's name for it is "long non-coding RNA (PDAC_LNC002751)". The record is from RNAcentral. Lineage: Eukaryota; Viridiplantae; Streptophyta; Magnoliopsida; Arecales; Arecaceae.
UUCAGGUGGGAGGGAAAUAUAAGAGAAAAUUGUGAAUAUUUAAUAGAUUUCUUCAUCAUCUGACUCUCAGGCUUCUGCAUGACAUGAAAGCCAUAUUGUGACUUUUUGCUUUUAAUUUUGUAUACGUGGUGGUUUUCUCCUUGAAAAAGAAUGAAUGAAAAAACAAAGCUGUGUGGGCCACGUUCAUUAGCGUUUCAUUGUUCGAGUGUUACUUUAUAAUUGUACCAGUAGGUUGUGGUGAUAAUUUUCAGAAACAAAAGUUCUGAACUGGUGGACCAAAAUUUUUCCUGUGUCUUUCAUUUUUGGGAUUAUAGGUCUUGCUCGCAUGUUAUGUUUCAACAAGAAGGAACAUGUCAGAGAUAACGACCUUU